UACGAAGGGGGCUAGCGUUGCUCGGAAUCACUGGGCGUAAAGGGUGCGUAGGCGGGUCUUUAAGUCAGGGGUGAAAUCCUGGAGCUCAACUCCAGAACUGCCUUUGAUACUGAAGAUCUUGAGUUCGGGAGAGGUGAGUGGAACUGCGAGUGUAGAGGUGAAAUUCGUAGAUAUUCGCAGGAACACCAGUGGCGAAGGCGGCUUACUGGUCCAUUACUGACGCUGAGGUGCGAAAGCGUGGGGAGCAAACAGG
RNAcentral lists this ribosomal RNA (253 nucleotides) under uncultured bacterium. RNAcentral's name for it is "partial 16S ribosomal RNA". It matches the Rfam family "Bacterial small subunit ribosomal RNA", at positions 524 to 776 of the family's 1533-position model. The record is from RNAcentral.